Molecule: ribosomal RNA, 165 nt
Filed under: uncultured bacterium
Lineage: Bacteria
Description: partial 16S ribosomal RNA
Rfam family: Bacterial small subunit ribosomal RNA
Source: RNAcentral
GUUAGAAUGUGUAGUGUAGCGGUGAAAUGCAUAGAUAUUACACAGAAUACCGAUUGCGAAGGCAGAUUACUAACAAUAUACUGACGCUGAGGGACGAAAGCGUGGGUAGCGAACAGGAUUAGAUACCCUGGUAGUCCACGCCGUAACGAUGGAUACUAGCUGUUC